This is a long non-coding RNA of Eurytemora carolleeae, 456 nucleotides long. RefSeq lists it as uncharacterized. The record is from RefSeq and is a predicted model, not a curated record. Lineage: Eukaryota; Metazoa; Arthropoda; Copepoda; Calanoida; Temoridae. The transcript is spliced from 3 exons.
GUAUUCAAUGUUUCAAGAUUUAAGCCGGCGCUCAACUGAAACCGGUUUUUGGACGGAUUUAAGACGCGGCUCAGAUUCAUUGAAUUCGGACACAGGAAAUUAUUAAUAUACACUAAACUAUUCCAGGGGGAUAAAGAUUUGUGCAAUUUUCAUUUAACACAUUAAAAUUAUUAUUAUUUUUCCUUGCCUAAUUACCAUUUCCCUUUUUGUUGAAAGAGAUAUAUAAAUGUUUUUUUUUAAGAAAAAAGCCAAAUAAACUCACAGAUUUGAUCAAAAUCAAAAAAGAAUUGAAAUUUUUUGGCAGACAUAUUUCACCACAGUUGGAACAGUCGUCUUCCUCGUUCCUCUUCUCAUACUAAUAGUUCUGUACAGUCGCAUCUUGUAUUGCCUGAAAGUUGAGGCAACUCGUCAGUUUCUUAGUUCCAACGCCACACACCAGAAUACAGAGGAAACAGA